GCGCAGCAGGCGAGAAUUUUUCUCAAUGGGGGAAACCCUGAAGGAGCGACGCCGCGUGGAGGAUGAAGGCUUUCGGGUUGUAAACUCCUGUCAUUUGAGAACAAGUGCUAGUAACUAACUACUGCUAGCUUGAUAGUAUCAGAAGAGGAAGGGACGGCUAACUCUGUGCCAGCAGCCGCGGUAAUACAGAGGUCCCAAGCGUUGUUCGGAUUCAUUGGGCGUAAAGGGUGCGUAGGUGGCGCCGUAAGUGGGGUGUGAAAUUUCGGAGCUCAACUCCGAAACUGCAUUCCAUACUGCGGUGCUUGAGGACUGGAGAGGAGACUGGAAUUUACGGUGUAGCAGUGAAAUGCGUAGAGAUCGUAAGGAAGACCAGUGGCGAAGGCGGGUCUCUGGACAGUUCCUGACACUGAGGCACGAAGGCUAGGGGAGCAAACGGGAUUAGAUACCCCUGUAGU
This 455-nucleotide ribosomal RNA is filed under the name uncultured organism. Its description in RNAcentral is "bacterial SSU rRNA". It matches the Rfam family "Bacterial small subunit ribosomal RNA", at positions 346 to 794 of the family's 1533-position model. The record is from RNAcentral.